GGAUCAAUAUGUUGGUCGUGCCUCGGUACGUACUAGCAUAUUGGUUUCUCCUUUCUGAAGAACCAUGAUGUCAUUCAUUUGGUGUCGUGGGGAAUCAGGACUGGUUUUAACUUUGAAAAAUUAGAGUGUUUAAAGCAGGCUCACGCUUGAAUACAUUAGCAUGGAAUAAUGAAAUAGGACGUUUGAUUCUAUUUUGUUGGUUUCUAGGAUCGACGUAAUGAU
Molecule: ribosomal RNA, 222 nt
Filed under: uncultured Glomeromycotina
Lineage: Eukaryota; Fungi; Glomeromycota
Description: partial 18S ribosomal RNA
Rfam family: Eukaryotic small subunit ribosomal RNA (bases 105-222)
Source: RNAcentral